GUUCGCCAUGGCUUGCUUAUCCAGCCACUGCAUAAGCGGAGCACUGGUUUUUGCUUCUCUUUCCAGCAAUAUUGACGACUCUCCACCUCCACAGUCCAACACCGCACGUCCUCAUAAUAACAAAAACAACCCUCCAAUUCCUACUACUAAAUCAAAAAUCAGAACGAAACGCCGCCAAUCCAAACUUCAACAGCAGCUUUCCCUUAUCCAGAUUGAACGUGCGGUUGGCGCCGGCAGCUAUCGCGAUUCUGAACCCACGGGCUCGGACCAGUGGGAUAGGGACUCUAUUUUUAAGGGUCUGUCGCCGAAUUCUGGUGGUGCAUUGGAGGGACCGUUGGAGAAGAAGCUGCGAGAGACAGGAGAGUGGAUUGUCGAUAAAACGGAGGGACAAUUUCGUUCUUCUGGUGCUCCUCUUGUUUCUUUGCCUCUAUUAUUUGCGCACAAAUUGAAUCUUUUUACUGUCCAUUUCACUGGGUUCUCCAAAAAGCUUAGCUUCCAUUGAUGAAAGAGUCUUCCAUCUUAAAGAAUAGACGUCAUUCUAAUUUUGCAAAAUCAACUCUUUCUAUUUUACCGUUCCUUUUUGCUAGAAAAAGCCAGCAAAAUUAGAUGUAAAAUAUCCAAUUUUGUGCAAUUUCAAAUCAUAAUGACAGUAUGCUCAGAAACAAGGUUAUUUUGAUCCUCAGUCUCUUGCUGAAUUUAUUACAGGAUUGGUAAUUGGUAUGAAAGCCAAAGCUCUUCUUCUACUUCUAGAUCGUUAUUGAAUCAAAAUUGGACUCUAAUUAGAAGAUUUAGGAUGACAUUAUCGGCAAGUUCAAUGUUGUAUUUCUGAUGUGUAACUUCAUGUAGUGUUUGAUUGCCUUUUUCAUGUUGUAACUCUAGCUAUUAGAUUGGUCUAAUGUUGGUUUUUGCUGUCCUUUUACAGGUAAAAAAAUUUUGAUGUUUUUCUUUCAGUGGGUUCUGCCAAUUUACAUUUUCAUGUUUCUAGUGACUUCAGGAGUUGUGAAGCUACCCUUCAGCACACCCCUACUUGAAGAUCUUCUCAUGUGAAAAUGUUAAAUAUCUGUUGAAAUCUAUAAUCAGAUUAUAGUUGCUUCCUCCCUGUUGAUGCAAAUAACAGCCCAUUUACCUUACAAGAAUCAUCCUCUCAGUGUAAUCAAUUUGAAAUGCAAAAAACAGCAGAGCACAAAGAUUCCCAGGAAAGUGGGUGCAUCAAUCACCAAAAUUCUGUAACAGAAUAACGUUGUAAGUUUAGAUAAUUGAGCUAAGCAUGUAAUAUUCUACAAGUUAAUUGUAUAUUUGCAUUAUACCUUACAUAUCUAUGCUGCAAAUAACCUUUUCCUGUUUAUGCUACCUCCUGAUGUCUCCUUCUCAUCCUCAUCUUGCUGCUGCUACAAUAUUAAAGACUAAGCCCUCCUAGUUCCAAACCAUUCUUUUUUUU
This 1438-nucleotide unclassified non-coding RNA is filed under the name Hevea brasiliensis (rubber tree). Lineage: Eukaryota; Viridiplantae; Streptophyta; Magnoliopsida; Malpighiales; Euphorbiaceae. The record is from RNAcentral.